UACGAAGGGGGCUAGCGUUGUUCGGAAUUACUGGGCGUAAAGCGCACGUAGGCGGAUUUGUUAGUCAGGGGUGAAAUCCCGGGGCUCAACCUCGGAACUGCCUUUGAUACUGCAAGUCUCGAGUCCGGAAGAGGUGAGUGGAAUUCCUAGUGUAGAGGUGAAAUUCGUAGAUAUUCGGAAGAACACCAGUGGCGAAGGCGGCUCACUGGCCCGGUACUGACGCUGAGGUGCGAAAGCGUGGGGAGCAAACAGG
RNAcentral lists this ribosomal RNA (253 nucleotides) under uncultured bacterium. Its description in RNAcentral is "partial 16S ribosomal RNA". It matches the Rfam family "Bacterial small subunit ribosomal RNA", at positions 524 to 776 of the family's 1533-position model. The record is from RNAcentral.